This 104-nucleotide ribosomal RNA is filed under the name Ruellia tuberosa. RNAcentral describes it as "partial 5.8S ribosomal RNA". It matches the Rfam family "5.8S ribosomal RNA", at positions 59 to 154 of the family's 154-position model. From Rfam's summary of the family: 5.8S ribosomal RNA (5.8S rRNA) is a component of the large subunit of the eukaryotic ribosome. It is transcribed by RNA polymerase I as part of the 45S precursor that also contains 18S and 28S rRNA. Lineage: Eukaryota; Viridiplantae; Streptophyta; Magnoliopsida; Lamiales; Acanthaceae. The record is from RNAcentral.
UACUUGGUGUGAAUUGCAGAAUCCCGUGAACCAUCGAGUCUUUGAACGCAAGUUGCGCCCGAAGCCUUCCGGCCGAGGGCACGCCUGCCUGGGCGUCACGCAUC